GCCUGGCUGGCUUAGUCGGUAGAGUAUGUGACUAUUGAUCUCAGGGUUGUGAGUUCAAGUCCCAUGUUGGGUG
Transfer RNA from Felis catus (domestic cat), 73 nucleotides. It matches the Rfam family "tRNA". Rfam says of the family: Transfer RNA (tRNA) molecules are approximately 80 nucleotides in length. Their secondary structure includes four short double-helical elements and three loops (D, anti-codon, and T loops). The record is from Rfam. Lineage: Eukaryota; Metazoa; Chordata; Mammalia; Carnivora; Felidae.